UGACCUCGGAUCAGGUAGACCCUUAAGCAUAUCAAUAAGCGGAGGA
This 46-nucleotide ribosomal RNA is filed under the name Aspergillus nidulans. RNAcentral's name for it is "partial 28S ribosomal RNA". Lineage: Eukaryota; Fungi; Ascomycota; Eurotiomycetes; Eurotiales; Aspergillaceae. The record is from RNAcentral.